Molecule: long non-coding RNA, 457 nt
Organism: Cydia fagiglandana
Lineage: Eukaryota; Metazoa; Arthropoda; Insecta; Lepidoptera; Tortricidae
Exons: 3
Source: RefSeq, a predicted model, not a curated record
UAAAAGCUUGUACCGAAAAUGAAAUUUUUGCCAAAAACUUAUUUACAGAUUACUGGCUGCAAGUCUUGAAGCACUAUCCACAGACGGAGCCCUAAGGUGGCCGGAGCCCAUCGCUCCUUAUCGAGCUAUACUUAUAGGGCCUAAGGAAGGCUCAAAAGAAUGGUCCGUGUACAACUCUGAGCAAAUGCUCGGCUUGUUCGACAAACUGUCGUCCCUACCGGGCCUCCGCGACGACAUUAUAUACGACGACCGCCACUCGAUGACUGUCGGGAAACGGAUACUUAUGGCUGACAAAAUGGGCUACCCCUUGGUGAUAGUUUGCGGUAAAGGUGUUUUAGAAACCCCGCCAAGGCUCGAGCUGCACUCGCGAGGCGAAACACAGUUGUUGACAUUAGGCCAACUCAUGUGGGUUUUACAGGGAGGGAACGAGAAAGUUGCUAAUAAAAUGUAAAACAAU